RNAcentral lists this transfer RNA (62 nucleotides) under Temnothorax ixili. RNAcentral describes it as "tRNA-Leu". The record is from RNAcentral. Lineage: Eukaryota; Metazoa; Arthropoda; Insecta; Hymenoptera; Formicidae.
UAUGGCAGAUUAGUGCAAUGGACUUAAACUCCUUACAUAAAGAAUUCAAUCUUUUAUUAAAA